UACGAGUGGUGCAAACGUUAUUCGGAUUUAUUGGGCGUAAAGGGCGCGUAGGUGGCGUAUUAAGUCAACUGUUAAAUUCUCCGGCCUAACUGGAGGUCAGCAGUAGAUACUGAUAUGCUAGAGGAUGAGAGAGAGAAGUGGAAUUCUCGGAGUAGCGGUAAAAUGCGUAGAUAUCGAGAGGAACACCAAUGGCGAAGGCAGCUUCUUGGCUCAUUCCUGACACUGAGGCGCGAAAGCGUGGGGAGCAAACAGG
This 253-nucleotide ribosomal RNA is filed under the name uncultured bacterium. RNAcentral's name for it is "partial 16S ribosomal RNA". It matches the Rfam family "Bacterial small subunit ribosomal RNA", at positions 524 to 776 of the family's 1533-position model. The record is from RNAcentral.